This 24-nucleotide non-coding RNA is filed under the name Arabidopsis thaliana (thale cress). Lineage: Eukaryota; Viridiplantae; Streptophyta; Magnoliopsida; Brassicales; Brassicaceae. The record is from RNAcentral.
UUUUAGAGGUGACCAUUAGAGUAC